RNAcentral lists this ribosomal RNA (449 nucleotides) under uncultured bacterium. RNAcentral's name for it is "bacterial SSU rRNA". It matches the Rfam family "Bacterial small subunit ribosomal RNA", at positions 330 to 793 of the family's 1533-position model. The record is from RNAcentral.
GCCAGACUCCUACGGGAGGCAGCAGUGGGGAAUAUUGCACAAUGGGGGAAACCCUGAUGCAGCAACGCCGCGUGAGUGAAGAAGCGUUUCGGCGCGUAAAGCUCUGUCAGCGGGGAAGAAAGAAGACGGUACCCGACCAAGAAGCCCCGGCUAACUACGUGCCAGCAGCCGCGGUAAUACGUAGGGGGCGAGCGUUAUCCGGAAUUACUAGGUGUAAAGGGGGCGCAGACGGCGAUGCAAGCCAGGAGUGAAAGCCCGGGGCCCAACCCCGGGACUGCUCUUGGAACUGCGUGGCUGGAGUGCGGGAGGGGCAGGCGGAAUUCCUGGUGUAGCGGUGAAAUGCGUAGAUAUCAGGAGGAACACCGGCGGCGAAGGCGGCCUGCUGGACCGCGACUGACGUUGAGGCUCGAAAGCGUGGGGAGCGAACAGGAUUAGAUACCCCGGUAAAA